Macaca mulatta (Rhesus monkey) is the source of this 1312-nucleotide non-coding RNA. Lineage: Eukaryota; Metazoa; Chordata; Mammalia; Primates; Cercopithecidae. The record is from RefSeq and is a predicted model, not a curated record.
UCUGAGAUGGGUAGAGCUUGCUUUAAAGAAGCUGCCGUGGGGUGAACAGCAUUUGAACUGGUUCCUGAAGGCUAGAUUGGAUUUCCCUAGGUGGAGAUGGGGAAAGAGAAAGUAGAGGGAACAUCCUAAGGAAAUGUUCAGAGGUAGAAAAUGGCAGGGAAUGUUUAAGGAUGAUCAUUUGGUGGGCACAGUGUGGACGCCUAAUGAUCGCAUGAGCUGAACAGAACAGCUGCAGGAGAUGAGGGACCAGAUCAUAGCAGGCUUCCUUUCAGUCUUGAAGUGGAGAGUUUGAGCUCUGCAUUCACACGUUGGUGCAGCAUUUGUGUUUCCUGAGGAAAGAAUAAGAAGAUCAGAGCUGAGCUAUAACAACCUUUAUCAGAUGGUGGAAUGGGGACUGUCUUUAAGGGGGGCAGCCUUAAGCAGGGAGACCAACUGUGCAGGCAGUUGGUAGGGACCCAGGUGAGAGGACAACGUGGAGGGUAAGGAAGGAGAGGCCAAGAUGGCGUCCCACUUUCCGUGCCUGAGUGGGGAGAGGGACAGACAGAGAUGGGGAAAGUUUGGGACUAAAGAUGGUAAGUUCCACUUUAUAUUGCAUGAACAAAAUACACAUCAAUUUCUCCUGAAAGCAGAAAUGGCUUUACUUGCUAGAAUUAAAUGGUCAAUAGUUUCCUAAAGUUGACGUUGCUCAGGGAGCGAUUUACCAUGUCAGGGAAAAGCAGUCUUAGGAGUGCUAAUAUGUCUUUCUCAUCAUUAGAUUUCAGAAAUCACAGACAAGACUGUGCCUAAGUGGAGACAAGUAAAUAAAGCUUCCUCUCCCCAACGCCCUGUGCUCUGCACUAAUAGAGAUCCAGCUGCUGGGAGCAAUGAGAGCAGAGGUGAUGUUCGUGGGAUCAAUGCAACCCUGGAUUCUCUUGCCACCAGCCCUGCCUCCUGGGGAGCCAUUGAGUUAGUGGAAUCAGCAGUGGAAGAGAGGAUGAAAUGCAAAUUCAUUGAAGGCCAUACAUUUAACUGUUGGCUAGGAUUCAGUUCCUGCAUUCUGAAGGCCAUCUGAAGGAGCAGCCAGCAUCAGCAGAGGCAGAAAGGAGAGGGUACGCUGGCUCUUAAAGCUUCCGUGCAAGAGAAUUAUCCAUCAUGUUUGCUCACAUUUCCUUGGCCAAAGCAAGUCAUAUGGCCAAGCAUGACUUCAAGAGGGAUAGGAAAAUAGAAUUAUCCUAUGGCUGGGGCAUUGGAUAUGGUGGAGUUGUGUGUCACCAUCUUCAGGCUGACUUCCCUUUCCCUUCAUGCGGAACAACGUCUUUAAUAAAUCUUUUAA